AUGAACGCUGGCGGCGUGCCUAACACAUGCAAGUCGAACGGAGUUUUAUGAAGCUUUCGGGCGGAUUAAAACUUAGUGGCGGACGGGUGAGUAACGCGUGGGUAACCUGCCUCAUACAGGGGGAUAACAGUUGGAAACGACUGCUAAAACCGCAUAAUAUUGCGACGUCGCAUGGCGAUGCAAUUAAAUAUUUAUAGGUAUGAGAUGGGCCCGCGUCUGAUUAGCUAGUUGGUGAGGUAAUGGCUCACCAAGGCGACGAUCAGUAGCCGGCUUGAGAGAGUGACCGGCCACAUUGGGACUGAGACACGGCCCAAACUCCUACGGGAGGCAGCAGUGGGGAAUAUUGCACAAUGGGGGAAACCCUGAUGCAGCGACGCCGCGUGAGUGAAGAAGUAUUUCGGUAUGUAAAGCUCUAUCAGCAGGGAAGAAAUUGACGGUACCUGACUAAGAAGCCCCGGCUAACUACGUGCCAGCCGCCGCAGUAACAC
This 488-nucleotide ribosomal RNA is filed under the name uncultured bacterium. RNAcentral's name for it is "bacterial SSU rRNA". It matches the Rfam family "Bacterial small subunit ribosomal RNA", at positions 29 to 526 of the family's 1533-position model. The record is from RNAcentral.